RNAcentral lists this ribosomal RNA (503 nucleotides) under uncultured bacterium. RNAcentral describes it as "partial 16S ribosomal RNA". It matches the Rfam family "Bacterial small subunit ribosomal RNA", at positions 28 to 523 of the family's 1533-position model. The record is from RNAcentral.
GAUGAACGCUGGCGGCAGGCUUAACACAUGCAAGUCGAGCGGGGUGAUGGUGCUUGCACUAUCACUUAGCGGCGGACGGGUGAGUAAUGCUUAGGAAUCUGCCUAUUAGUGGGGGACAACAUCUCGAAAGGGAUGCUAAUACCGCAUACGUCCUACGGGAGAAAGCAGGGGAUCACUUGUGACCUUGCGCUAAUAGAUGAGCCUAAGUCGGAUUAGCUAGUUGGUGGGGUAAAGGCCUACCAAGGCGACGAUCUGUAGCGGGUCUGAGAGGAUGAUCCGCCACCCUGGGACUAAGACACGGCCCGGACUCCUACGGGAGGCAGCAGUGGGGAAUAUUGGACAAUGGGGAGAACCCGGAUCCAGCCAUGACGCGUGUGUGAAGAAGGCCUUAUGGUUGUAAAGCACUUUAAGCGAGGAGGAGGCUCUUUUGGUUAAGACCCAAGAUGAGUGGACGUUACUCGCAGAAUAAGCACCGGCUAACUCUGUGCCAGCAGCCGCAGUAA